This 31-nucleotide non-coding RNA is filed under the name Mus musculus (house mouse). The record is from RNAcentral. Lineage: Eukaryota; Metazoa; Chordata; Mammalia; Rodentia; Muridae.
UGAAAAUCGAGUCCUGAAAGAUAAGAGAGGU